GAGAAGCGGCGGACGGGUGAGUAAUGCCUAGGAAUCUGCCUGGUAGUGGGGGAUAACGUUCGGAAACGGACGCUAAUACCGCAUACGUCCUACGGGAGAAAGCAGGGGACCUUCGGGCCUUGCGCUAUCAGAUGAGCCUAGGUCGGAUUAGCUAGUUGGUGAGGUAAUGGCUCACCAAGGCGACGAUCCGUAACUGGUCUGAGAGGAUGAUCAGUCACACUGGAACUGAGACACGGUCCAGACUCCUACGGGAGGCAGCAGUGGGGAAUAUUGCACAAUGGGCGAAAGCCUGAUCCAGCCAUGCCGCGUGUGUGAAGAAGGUCUUCGGAUUGUAAAGCACUUUAAGUUGGGAGGAAGGGUUGUAGAUUAAUACUCUGCAAUUUUGACGUUACCGACAGAAUAAGCACCGGCUAACUCUCGUGC
This 423-nucleotide ribosomal RNA is filed under the name Pseudomonas sp. RNAcentral's name for it is "bacterial SSU rRNA". It matches the Rfam family "Bacterial small subunit ribosomal RNA", at positions 90 to 508 of the family's 1533-position model. Lineage: Bacteria; Pseudomonadati; Pseudomonadota; Gammaproteobacteria; Pseudomonadales; Pseudomonadaceae. The record is from RNAcentral.